Molecule: ribosomal RNA, 255 nt
Filed under: uncultured bacterium
Lineage: Bacteria
Description: partial 16S ribosomal RNA
Rfam family: Bacterial small subunit ribosomal RNA
Source: RNAcentral
CACGUAGGCAUCAAGCGUUGUCCGGAUUUAUUGGGCGUAAAGAGCUCGUAGGCGGUUCAGCAAGUCGGGGUGUGAAAACUAUGGGCUUAACCCAUAGCCUGCAUCCGAAACUGCUGUGACUAGAGUUCGGUAGGGGAGAGGGGAAUUCCUAGUGUAGCGGUGAAAUGCGCAGAUAUUAGGAGGAACACCGAUGGCGAAGGCACCUCUCUGGGCCGAUACUGACGCUGAGGAGCGAAAGCGUGGGUAGCAAACAGG